Vespa crabro (European hornet) is the source of this 724-nucleotide long non-coding RNA. RefSeq lists it as uncharacterized. The transcript has 4 exons. Lineage: Eukaryota; Metazoa; Arthropoda; Insecta; Hymenoptera; Vespidae. The record is from RefSeq and is a predicted model, not a curated record.
GAGAGAGAGAGAGAGAGAUGGGAAAGUCAAUUCUGAUAAACGUUCUUGAUAUCCUUAAAAAUAUUCGUAUUAUCUGACGAGCCUAGCAGGGGUCACCUUUCUUCGAGCGUAACGUUCCAAUCCUUUACGAGAGAUCAAUCGUUUUAUUUUUCGACCGAUGAAGGCCGACGAACAAAUCGUUUUUGAAUCAUUUCCUGAAAGUUCGAGAUCAUCGAUCGAGAGUUCGUCGAGAUGGAAAACAACGACUAAUUAAAGGUCUUUUAAACUGCUUUAUCCUGUCGAUAAAAAAGUGAAUUUAUCCGUCGAGCAUGGAUUCCACGUUUUCGUUGACAUGUUUUCUCCGAUAGAUGGCAAAGCUUGAAAACGUUCUAUUAGCGUUAUCUUGGAACCUCUGGCAAUAUAAAUUAUUUUACGAUAAACGAUAUAUGCAUUUAAUUAGUACUACAAUUAAUGCAUUGAAUUUUUUUGGAUAACCGAUGGAUCGAGAUCAAAGGAUCUUCUUUACCGGCGAAAAAGAUCGAGGAUUGAUCCUUUUAAUAAAUUGAUGGUAUUCAUAUUAAUUUUUCAUGUCAAUCAAUUUUUAAGAUGAGUCAAAGAACAAGAGAAUUGUAAUAGUAAACGCUUCAUCGACUGUAAGGAAAUUCUUUCAAUACGUUACUGGGGAAAAUGUUACCCAGUCAUAAUCGAUAUGCAAUGGAAACAUCAUCGUAAAACGAUUGUAAAC